Long non-coding RNA from Acinonyx jubatus (cheetah), 1357 nucleotides. RefSeq lists it as uncharacterized. The record is from RefSeq and is a predicted model, not a curated record. NCBI's taxonomy places the organism in Eukaryota, Metazoa, Chordata, Mammalia, Carnivora, Felidae. The transcript is spliced from 3 exons.
AGACAGGACUUUGGCAAGGAACAUGAAACUCAAAAUGCCUUCACUUAUUAUAAACUUGAUGCAUUAUUAUAGGUGAGAAAGAUUUGCAACUGGGAGGACUCAUUGUUCUUUGGAUGGCUGCUGUUUCUUUAAAUUGGGUGAAAAAACUGUACAGUUGCUGAGUCAGAUGAUCUGGCAGCCUCGGAGAUUCAGAGCAAGAAAAUGGUGGCACUCAUAAAAAAAGAAAAGAAAAGAAAGCAAAACAUAAGCUUCCUUAAUACAUCUGCAAAGGGAAGUGUUCAAACACAAGGAAAGCUGCAGUAUGGGAAGAAAACAGUUGAGAGAACAAUUUGAGGCAAAUUCUUCAUCACUGGAAAAACUUCUUAUUCCAUCCUCCAUUCCGUCUUGUACCCCAGAAAGAGGAACAAAGAGAAGAAGGCCUUUCAACACUCGCUGGUGGCCAACUGGCGCGGAAGGGAUUGGCUACCGAGUUUUGGACACUUUCCUCGAAUGAACCUGACCCAUUCCGCUCCACCCCUCCAGAAAAAAGGCCUGGCCAGUUCCAAGCUGGGGAGAUGACCAAGAGACCUCCUCGUCAUUCCUUGCACCCCUCCUGAAUCCGAGAGGCCCCCACUUCGUCCUCCACCUAGUUGGGCCCCAAUCCCGCUCUAGGCAUCAGUCACUGUUAACGCAGAUCACAUCUUACCCGAGGAAACAGUUGGGGUGUGGGGCGAGGCCCGGGGCGGUUAACAACAGAAGGGGUGCAUUCGCGGAGUGGGAUGAUCAGUGGGCUAUGCCUCUAAACUCUUGCUACGGGGUCCUACCCCAGCUGCCAGUUAAAUCUCUGGGAUCCGCAGCGUCUCUAGAAAUUGAGAGGGUGGGGAGAUGGGGUCGAGGAGGGUGGUCGCAGCUAGGAGGUGGGGGAGGCUAGGUCGGUGCAGCUUUGAGUCUCGCUUCCUACGGUAGACUCUCUCUGUGGUCCUGGGGGAGGACCUUUGCAACCCCAGCCAGGCUGUGGGAGGCGGUGAGCUCCAGUUUGAAAUCGUCCGGAGAGGACUAGGGAGAGGGAUUCCUAGAAGGGGGCAAGUUAUGUGACCAGAGGCCUAAUACCCAAGCUCUUUGGAAAUAGACAUAGCUAUGCGUUUAUAGUCUAUGUAAAAACGAACUAGGUUGUGAAUAGGCACAGCGAGCAUUGGUCUGAAGUCACAACUCUCUCGUGCUUUCUCCAGACCUUACCAGAACCUUGUUAUUUAUGAUCCUUGCACAAGUCAGUUUCCUCACUGCCCAGCCCCCCCCCCCAACAAUCUAAGGCUAAGCAAGCUCUCAGUUCAUCCUUAAUGCACGAUCAUUUCAGGAUUUGAAAAUGACCAUAUAUAUA